GUGGUACCAAGCCUCAGGCAGCAGCAGGCAGGGGCACGCCGGCCCGGGUUCAUGGCUGUGAUGGGCAGCACAUGAUGUCCCCCCACCAUGUGCUGUCUCAUAGCGCCUGUGCUCAGCAUGCCCCAUGGCCCAUGUGUUCCGGAGGGAAACGUUUACUUGCUCGGCGCUGCUGGUCACCAGGCCCUGCUGCAGCCUGAAGGCCUGCUCCUGGGGACAAGUCUGCGUGUGGUUGUUCCUCACCAGGCACCACUGGAUCUGGAGAUAAUGGAGGGUCCGCCAGACAGAGGCAGUGGCACGGCCAGAUGGGAGGAGAGACGGAAUCAGAGAGAGACAAAGAAGGGCAAGGGCAGAGACCCUUCCUUCUUGGGAGACUUUUCUCUUCUUUUAAGGAGAGCAACAUACACACGGCACUGCUGGUGUUGGGGAUUGAAUUGUGUCCUCCACAAAAGGCAUUUUCAGGUCUAAACCCCUGUUCCUGUGGCUGUGAACCCAUUUGUAUAUAGGACCUUUGAAGAUGUUACUGGUUAAAGUGUGCCCAAACUGCAUGAGGGUGGGCCUUAAUCCAGUAUGACUGAAGUCCUUAUAAGCAAAGG
This is a long non-coding RNA of Choloepus didactylus (southern two-toed sloth), 593 nucleotides long. RefSeq lists it as uncharacterized. The transcript is spliced from 4 exons. NCBI's taxonomy places the organism in Eukaryota, Metazoa, Chordata, Mammalia, Pilosa, Megalonychidae. The record is from RefSeq and is a predicted model, not a curated record.